Molecule: ribosomal RNA, 476 nt
Filed under: uncultured bacterium
Lineage: Bacteria
Description: partial 16S ribosomal RNA
Rfam family: Bacterial small subunit ribosomal RNA
Source: RNAcentral
UGGGGAAUUUUGGACAAUGGGCGAAAGCCUGAUCCAGCAAUGCCGCGUGUGUGAAGAAGGCCUUCGGGUUGUAAAGCACUUUUGUCCGGAAAGAAAUCCUUGGCUCUAAUACAGUCGGGGGAUGACGGUACCGGAAGAAUAAGCACCGGCUAACUACGUGCCAGCAGCCGCGGUAAUACGUAGGGUGCAAGCGUUAAUCGGAAUUACUGGGCGUAAAGCGUGCGCAGGCGGUUUGCUAAGACCGAUGUGAAAUCCCCGGGCUCAACCUGGGAACUGCAUUGGUGACUGGCAGGCUAGAGUAUGCAGAGGGGGGUAGAAUUCCACGUGUAGCAGUGAAAAUGCUAGAGAUGUGGAGGAAUACCGAUGGCGAAGGCAGCCCCCUGGGCCAAUACUGACGCUCAUGCACGAAAGCGUGGGGAGCAAAACAGGAUUAGAUACCCUGGUAGUCCAGCGCCCUAAACGAUGUCAACUAGUUG